RNAcentral lists this ribosomal RNA (401 nucleotides) under uncultured soil bacterium. Its description in RNAcentral is "bacterial SSU rRNA". It matches the Rfam family "Bacterial small subunit ribosomal RNA", at positions 975 to 1375 of the family's 1533-position model. The record is from RNAcentral.
CAGGUCUUGACAUCCCGCUGACCGCUAUGGAGACAUAGUUUUCCCUUCGGGGACAGCGGUGACAGGUGGUGCAUGGUUGUCGUCAGCUCGUGUCGUGAGAUGUUGGGUUAAGUCCCGCAACGAGCGCAACCCUUGUUCUUAGUUGCCAUCAUUUAGUUGGGCACUCUAAGGAGACUGCCGGUGACAAACCGGAGGAAGGUGGGGAUGACGUCAAAUCAUCAUGCCCCUUAUGACCUGGGCUACACACGUGCUACAAUGGACGGUACAAACGGUUGCGAAGUCGCGAGAUGGAGCCAAUCCGAUAAAACCGUUCUCAGUUCGGAUUGUAGGCUGCAACUCGCCUACAUGAAGCCGGAAUCGCUAGUAAUCGUGGAUCAGCAUGCCACGGUGAAUACGUUCCC